AAUAAAAGGAACUUGGAGAAGUCCUUGCCCCUUCCACCAUGUGAGAACACAUCAAGAAGACAGCCAUCUAUCAACCAGGAAGUGGGUUCUCACCAGACACUGAAUUUGAAGGUGCCUUGAUCCUGGACUUCCAGCCUCCAGAACUGCUUGUCUGUGUAUUUGAUGGAACACUCACCUUUUCCAGACUUUAUGAACUGACUUCUAUGAGGAAAGAUCUUCACCUGCUGGGGAUGAAGUGGCAACCAAGAAGAUUUCUCUUGAUGCUGAGCUAUGCAGGCCUGAGAUAUGAGGUUACACAAGUAAAAUGCUUCCUACUCUUUUCUAUGAGGCGAUCCUCAGUUUUUGUGCCCCACGGGCUUGGUACAGCUUCUUUAUUAGACUCUGGAGCUCUCCCAGAGUUAUUUUUGGCCUACGAAUAGUGGUUAAGUUACUCUUUUUGUAGAAAGACAAGGGCUGAGAUUGCCUACUCCACUAUCUUGCUGAUGUUACAUCUACCUAACUCUAUUUAGUAUUUCCAUAGUCUCUAUAUGUUUAGACAGUAUCUAUUGACUCUUAGAUAUGAGCAAUGCAGAUUUAGUGUAUUUUUUCUUCUUUUCCUCCUAUUAUCUAGCCUACUUACAGCAAUAUCAUAUUAUUUUUCUUACUGCUUAUCCUUAUAUAUUUAAUAUAUUUAAACUUAAAUUACUUGGUUUAUUAACUCUUAUUUAAAGUUUGACAGAGGCUGCUCAUCAAAUUUGGUAAUAUUUAUGGAUUCAUAUUAUAACUGAUAACUUUUCAAAGGAUUCCUGGAAAUAUCAAUGGAGAGGAAAAUUAUGGCACAGUCAGGAAUUUUUGCUCAUUAGAGAUGGUACACCUUCAAGAUAUAGAAUAUUACUCUUAAUGAAUCAAGGGUAGAUAUAGCAUUAACAAAAAUCAGGACGUCUGGAUUACAAAUUGAUUUGCCUGUAAAAAUAUAUACUUUUGAUCUACUUAGUUGAAUCUUUUUUCAAAUCUGUAAAAAUUUUUUUGUUAUUAUUAAUAAUAACAUUAAUAAUGCAUGCCUGGUUUUCUGGAUUCACCACAAAAAUAGAACUUCCCUUUGCAGAGAAGGGGAAAACCAUUCUUUCUGUUUUUAGUAUGUCAGAACAAUGAUACGUCACUGACUUCAUUUCUUAUCCAGUUCCAUCAUUUUAUAGUGAGUAAAAUUUCUCCUAAAUUAUGGAUGUUGUUUGAGUUUCAUUCCCACAAUUUUGACUGGUUUUGGUGCUCUAAUGUAUUUUAGUGUUAAGUUUGGAAGAAAUGCAACAAAUACUGCUUGAGUAUUUGGCCAUUUUCUACAUAGUACACAAGAACUUUAGUGCAUUUAUUUUUUACAAACUGCCUAUUCAACCUAUCUCUAUUGGGAACUAUAAUGUAUUUUUUACUUCCAUAAAGAGAAGAGCAAACUUUUACAGUUUUUAUUAUGUCUCCCUUUUUUUUAGAGUUUUAACUCUAAUCAACCACAACAUCAACUGAAAUUAAACACAAAUCCUUAUUAUUCAACCACUUUUAGAUGUCUAGGGUAAUAAUACUUUUCUGCUUGAAUAGAUAAUAGGUUUCUUCCACAUUUUAAUGAAUAUGACUGACUCACUCAUGAUUUUAGAUUAUUAUUGCUAUAUUCAUAUUAAGGAUAACUCAGUUGACUUCAAUAGUUGAAUAUUUAGCUGGUUCCAUUAAAAAAACUGACGAAAUAACUGAAAUAUUUUUAUUUUGAGUUUAAAAUGGAAAACAAAACCUACUUUGCGUAACUCAUUAAAGCUAAAAUUUUGAAUUGCCUUUCAAGAAAAAUAAAAAACACUUGAAUAUUUUUAUGAUACAAUACAUACAUAUUGAGGCUAAAGUUUCAAAUGUAAAAACAACUAAUUUUUAUAGGACAAUUGUAUUAAUACUUUAUAUUCAUAAAUUUUGCCAUUGUUGAAUCUUCUACAUUGUUCAAAAUAAGAAAAGGAUAAAGAGAGCAAGUAGACCAAAGAGAUGUCUUGCUAUGGGCCUUCAGAUUUGAGAUUUUUAUAACAUUGCACUUUUUAGCUACCUACUUAUCAAUAAAAUCCUGUAAAUCUGAUAAUACUUAUACUGCCUGGUGAUCAUAAUAUACAUAGCAUGCCUGAUGCAAACAACUAAAAUAAAAAGUGUUAUUUGCAAUUGUAAUAGAGGUGUCAUAGGAGUCUUUAGGUUUACCUUUUGGCCUUAGCAAUUAUAACAGCAGAGAUAGGAGGUUAUGUAUUGCCAUCUUCUGGUGAGUUUCAUUAACUCCUUGCAGUACUUAAUCAGAUGGUGGAUACGGUUUUACAAUAGGCUCUUUACAUGACUGAUUUUUCCAAACAAAUGCCUUUAUCAGUAAGAAUAUAUGUGUUUAUUAAACUAACAAUAUUAACAGUGAUUGAAAUAAAAUUACCUGUUUUUAGACACAGAUGGUUAAGUUUCAAAAGGCUGGGAUUGUGAUAGUUUUGGUCAUCAUUGCAUCCUCAGUACUUGAUACUUUUAUGCCAAAUAUGGGGAUUCAAUACACACAUGUUGGGUUAUAUUAAUAGGUCUCAAUUUUAUCUUUAUUUGAUCUUGACUUUACUUCCCCAGAUCAAAUGGAAAUUUAUUGCUGAGUCUGAGAACUCUGGACUGUUUCAAAAUUUUCUGCCCAAAUUUUUCACUCUGCUUCUUGUUUCAUCCAAAUUCUGGAUGUUAAAAAGCCCCAGUCUUAUAUAAAAGGGAUGAUUUGCUUUCCUUUCCAAACACCUUAUCUCUUCCAGUGUCCAGGUUAAAUUCAAGCAGCUGGUUUCCCCAUGGAAUAUACAGGCAAUGCCUGAGAUCCCUCCCUAGCUCUGCAGCUUUAUCACAUUGACUCCUUAAUUCUCCAUUAUGGAAGCUUUGGCCACAGUGACAUGUGACUCUUCUGUUCUCCAUUACUGUGUUAUCCUUCAUAUAUGCCCCUCCUGGCAAUUGAGCCACAUGACUUUACAGGAGUGCCUUUUUGUGAUGAAACUUCUCAGAGAGUGCACAUUUUGGUCGUCAAAGCCAAACUUCUUACCAUGAACAAUAUAUACUAAAUCUGGAGGGAUUAAAUAUCUAAUUCAUCCUACUCAUUUUAUGUAUUAAAAACAGUGGCACAUCAGUUUAGAAGGACAUGCAUAAGGUUAAAAACACACCAGAAGUAGAUGUUCUGCAGCAGUUUUGCCUUCUUUUUUUCUCUUUAAUCUUUUAGAUUUAUAUGCUUCUCUAGCACAGGAAAAAUAAUUUUAUAGAAAAGCUGUUUCCUCACAGUCUUGUAGUAAGAAAUCAUUUUCCCUUCCCUAUUUGAUUGUGUCAUUAUGUUUUCACAUAUCUUUCUGGUAUAUUUCCAGGAGGAACUGUAUCUGAGAUUAUUUCUUCCUUUCUAUUCUUGCAUAUUUGCGUCCUUCUUUAUUAUCUCUGUCUUUUCCGCUUCAUACCAUUUAAAAUUCUCAUUAUCCUCUUCCUGACUCACUGAUUCCUUUGUGGUUAUAUAUUUUCCUAUCCUUGCUUGGUCAUUUCCUCACUAUUCUGUGAUUACUAUGGUCACAAACAUUUUUGGUGUGAUACUAUGAAAAUGAACUGAGCUUAUAUGUUUUCUAGAAAAUAAAGAUUCACCUUUUAUGC
This is a long non-coding RNA of Pan troglodytes (chimpanzee), 3627 nucleotides long. RefSeq lists it as uncharacterized. The record is from RefSeq and is a predicted model, not a curated record. The transcript is spliced from 3 exons. NCBI's taxonomy places the organism in Eukaryota, Metazoa, Chordata, Mammalia, Primates, Hominidae.